Molecule: ribosomal RNA, 291 nt
Filed under: uncultured bacterium
Lineage: Bacteria
Description: partial 16S ribosomal RNA
Rfam family: Archaeal small subunit ribosomal RNA
Source: RNAcentral
GUGCCGCAGCGCGGUAAUACCGGCAGCUCAAGUGAUGUCCCAUAUGAUUGGGCCUAAAGCGUCCGUAGCUGGCCGACCAAGUCUCCCGGGAAAUCCACCUGCCCAACAGGUGGGCGUCCGGCGGAAACUGUGUGGCUUGGAACCGGAAGGCUCAGAGGGUACGUCCGGGGUAGGAGUGAAAGCCCGUAAUCCCGGACGGACCACCGAUGGCGAAAGCACUCUGAGAAGACGGCUUCGACAGUGAGGGACGAAAGCUAGGGUCUCAAACCGGAUUAGAAACCCCGGUAGUCC